This 595-nucleotide ribosomal RNA is filed under the name uncultured fungus. RNAcentral describes it as "eukaryotic LSU rRNA". It matches the Rfam family "Eukaryotic large subunit ribosomal RNA", at positions 40 to 647 of the family's 3401-position model. The record is from RNAcentral. Lineage: Eukaryota; Fungi.
AUAUCAAUAAGCGGAGGAAAAGAAACCAACAGGGAUUGCCUCAGUAGCGGCGAGUGAAGCGGCAAAAGCUCAGAUUUGAAAUCCGGUGCGGUCCCCGUGCCUGAGUUGUAAUCUGGAGAGGAUGUUCCGGUUAGGCCAGCCGCCCAAGUUCCUUGGAACAGGACGUCUCAGAGGGUGAGAACCCCGUACCCGGUGGAUGGGUCGAGCCAUGUGGAACUCCUUCGACGAGUCGAGUUGUUUGGGAAUGCAGCUCAAACUGGGUGGUAAAUUCCAUCUAAAGCUAAAUAUUGGCGGGAGACCGAUAGCGCACAAGUAGAGUGAUCGAAAGAUGAAAAGCACUUUGAAAAGAGAGUUAAAAAGUACGUGAAAUUGUUGAAAGGGAAGCGCUUGCCAUCAGAACCGGCGUCGGUCGAUCAACGUUCCUUCUGGUUCGUGCACUCGGCCGGCUGCCGUGCCAGCAUCGGUUGCUGCGGCUGGACAAAGACGGUGGGAAGGUGGCUCCCCUCGGGGAGUGUUACAGCCCACCGUGCAAUGCUGCCAGCGGCGACCGAGGACCGCGCUCACGCAAGGAUGCUGGCCUAAUGGUUGUAAGCGA